RNAcentral lists this ribosomal RNA (424 nucleotides) under uncultured bacterium. RNAcentral describes it as "bacterial SSU rRNA". It matches the Rfam family "Bacterial small subunit ribosomal RNA", at positions 355 to 776 of the family's 1533-position model. The record is from RNAcentral.
UGAGGAAUAUUGGUCAAUGGACGCAAGUCUGAACCAGCCAUGCCGCGUGCAGGAUGAAGGCCUUCUGGGUUGUAAACUGCUUUUAUCAGGGAAGAAACCACAGAUUUCUAUUUGUGCCGACGGUACCUGAGGAAUAAGCACCGGCUAACUCCGUGCCAGCAGCCGCGGUAAUACGGAGGGUGCAAGCGUUAUCCGGAUUCACUGGGUUUAAAGGGUGUGUAGGCGGGCUUGUAAGUCCGAGGUGAAAUCUCCGAGCUCAACUUGGAAACUGCCUUGGAUACUAUAGGUCUUGAAUAUCGUUGAGGUAGGCGGAAUAUGUCAUGUAGCGGUGAAAUGCUUAGAUAUGACAUAGAACACCGAUUGCGAAGGCAGCUUGCUAAACGAUUAUUGACGCUGAGGCACGAAAGCGUGGGGAUCAAACAGG